AUGUUGACCUUUGACGCCACAGCCUCAGCUACCUCACACCAAUGGCGCUCAGGUGCACCAUCCAGCUCGCCAUCCCUACCGCGAUCCACCGCCUUGGCGGUUGCCGUGUCAUUGCCUGACCGGGUCACCGCGCUGUCCCUCCCGCCAUCAAAGGCGCCGUUCCUCAGCCGCCUCUUGCGGCUGCUGUCCACGACGGGGGUGCUGGCGUCAAACGAGGCUGGGAUCUACAGCCUCGUCCCACUAUCCUACCUUCUCAUGGAUGGUAUACUCGUUGAUGGAGAUGCUAGCCAGGCAGCUCUCGUGCUCUGCUUGACCUCGCGGUAUCACAUGGUGGCGGCUAUGGGGUUGGCCGACUGGUUCAAAAAGGAUAUCGCUCAACCCAUGCUGUCACCGUUCGAGGACUUUAAGGGCUACCACAUGGCACAUACGGUAAGCAAUCCAAGCUUGAUGAAACGUUUGGGGCGUGGUCGCGGCAAAACUAGUAUGUAA
Molecule: ribosomal RNA, 489 nt
Filed under: Triticum aestivum (bread wheat)
Lineage: Eukaryota; Viridiplantae; Streptophyta; Magnoliopsida; Poales; Poaceae
Description: partial small subunit ribosomal RNA
Source: RNAcentral